Callithrix jacchus (white-tufted-ear marmoset) is the source of this 861-nucleotide long non-coding RNA. The record is from Ensembl. Lineage: Eukaryota; Metazoa; Chordata; Mammalia; Primates; Cebidae.
GGAGGGUUUCAGCCUGUGGGUAAGCCAAGAGAGGGAAGCAGGUAGCAUGAGUGUUAGGCUGGGAAAGAAAAGCUCACCACAGGCCCUGUGGAACAGGCAGAUGGAAAUGCAGGGGGAAGCACCAUUUCAUUCCUAACCUCCCCUGGAGGUUUGGGGAAAAGGAAAACUGUGAAGCCCUGAAAUGAGCUCAGGCUGUAGAAACAAAUGAGGUGGAGAAAUGAAGAAUCUGGGAAGAAAAUGAAAGCCCAGUUUUUAGGUGGGUAAAAAUUAAGCUGAAAAAGUUGAAGUAAAAUAUCUUCUUACUUUUCUAAUGAAAAAACAGAAAUGAUACGUGUGACUUUCCCUGCUUGGAAGCUGGCCUCUCCUGUCAGUUCAGAAAAGAAGCAUUAAGAGACAACGCCGACCUUGUAACUCUGAGACUACUGUUGCUACUCUGGCCACUCUGUACCCACUGGCUGGGCUCUCUACAGACUCCCUUGUGCCUCUUUUGGGGGUGAAGUGUGCAAGAAACUAGGUCGCUUGGAGACAAAAACAAAGGAAGGAGAGAAGAAUAGAUGUAGUUUUGUGCUGGCUUUUGAGGCAAGGUGAAAAUCACCAAUGAGACGUCUGAGCACAGCCUCCCUGAGGGAAGUGAAGCUGACAGAGGCUGGGCCUUGGACUUCACGUUGCUUGCUGUUCAAUGUAGCACACAGUUUUGUCAGUUGGUUACUUGCCUGUCCUCCCUCUUUGUAUGAUGUUUUCCUCUCCUGAAAUAAGCCUCGACUCUAUUCGAUCUGCAGAACCUUGGCAUGAAGAACAUUUUAUGUUUCUUCUGUGAAGUAAAAAGGCAAGUCUUGUAGACUGAUGGCGAUUAACCAUAAU